GGCGGUGUAGCUCAGUUGGUUAGAGCAGAGGAAUCAUAAUCCUCGUGUCGGGGGUUCGAGUCCCUCCACCGCUACCA
This 77-nucleotide transfer RNA is filed under the name Candidatus Latescibacterota bacterium. RNAcentral describes it as "tRNA-Met". It matches the Rfam family "tRNA". From Rfam's summary of the family: Transfer RNA (tRNA) molecules are approximately 80 nucleotides in length. Their secondary structure includes four short double-helical elements and three loops (D, anti-codon, and T loops). RNAcentral also lists the same sequence under 1 other name. Lineage: Bacteria; Pseudomonadati; Candidatus Latescibacterota. The record is from RNAcentral.